RNAcentral lists this long non-coding RNA (1035 nucleotides) under Anolis carolinensis (green anole). RNAcentral describes it as "lncRNA (ENSACAG00000035024.1)". Lineage: Eukaryota; Metazoa; Chordata; Lepidosauria; Squamata; Anolidae. The record is from RNAcentral.
UCUGCACUACCAUAUACAGUAGAGUCUCACUUAUCCAACAUAAACGGGCCAGCAGAAUGUUGGAUAAGUGAAUAUGUUGGAUAAUAAGGAGAGAUUAAGAAAAAGCCUAUUAAACAUCAAAAUAGGUUAUGAUUUUACGAAUUAAGCACCAAACAUCACGUUAUACAACAAAUUUGACAGAAAAAGUAGUUCAUUACACAUUAAUGCUAUGUAGUAAUUACUGUAAUUACUGUAUUUACAAAAUUAGCACCAAAAUAUCAUGUUAUAUUGAAAACAUUGACUACAAAAAUGUGUUGGAUAAUCCAGAACAUUGGAUAAGCGAGUGUUGGAUAAGUGAGAAUCUACUGUAUUUACAAAAAAGCUCAAAUUUAAGAUAAGACUGUCCAACUCUGAUUAAAUCAUUAUUCUCAUCUUCUUCAAUGUAAAUGCCCUUAUCUCUCCUUUUAAUAAUAGAGUAAAAUAAUACAUGUAAUAAUAAUAAUAAUAAUAAUAAUAAUAAUAAUAAUAAUAAUAAAUCCAUCAAAAUAAUACAAGUAAUAAUAAAUAGAGUAAAAUAAUAAAUGCAAUAAUAAUAUCAGAGUGAAAUAAUAAAUGUAUUAUUAAUAAUAAUAAAAAUAGAGUAAAAUAAAUGUAAUAGUAGCAACAAUAAUAGAUAAAAAUAGUAAAUGUAAUAAUACCAAUAAUAAUAGAGAAAAAUAAUAAAUGUACCAUAUAUAUUUGAGUAUAAGCCGACCUGAAUAUAAGCCAACCAGGACCCUCACCCUAGUAUAAGCCGAGGGGGGCUUUUUCAGUCUUAAAAAAAGGGCUGAAAAACUAGGCUUAUACUCGAGUAUAUACAGUAAUUAUAACUCAUACGAUUCCAUAGCACUGAGAUGCAGCAGUUAAAGUAGUGCCAAACUGUAUUCAUUCUACAGUGUAGAUGCACCCAAUAUCUCCCAGAAGAUCUUCCAAGUGGUUUUGGAGGUAACAGGGUGGUUCAGUUGUUUAAAUACCAAAAUCUUUGCAGGUAGCUGCUUGAAAAGCAUCCUCAACUGU